UUUCACAGGAGUCACAUCACAAACCGAAUGAGAAAACAAACGACAUUGCGGGUUCAGAGCCACUCGACAAUGCAAGAAUGUUUCCAUAUCGGUCUCAGUCAUGUGACUCUUAUUUAAAGAUGAUGGACCAUUUUGAACCACUGAAAAUGGCACAAUCCUCAAGUCAACUUGUGACAUUCAAGAACAACAGGAUUGCUUCUCCAUCCCCAAAACUUACAAGAAAGAGAAAAGACCAAAGUGUGACCAGAAAUCCCUCUAGAAGCCGUGGCAGACAGAAAAGGGGCUAGACAAAACCUCAGCCCUAUCAGCCAAGACAACCUACAUGAAGAUGCGAAGACCAAUGACAUCUCCCUCUAAAUGAUGUGAUGAUUGUACCUCAUUCAUCUUAGCUCCUCAUUGGUUGAUUUUUAGUUUAUAUCUUUUAGCAUAUUUUUCAUACCACACGAGUCAAAAUAAUCUGUCACACAGUUAAGAGCAUGAGACACAUGACACAUUCACGUGUUUGAAACACUACAGACCAAUGGAAUAUCAGGAUGCCCAAACCGUUAGUAGCUUUACUUGAGAUCAUAGAUUUAGACAAUACACUACCAAUCAAACAUGUUUUUUUUUCUUUAUUUUUACUACUAUCAAAUAUAUGAAGUAAGAUAUAUGGAAUUGUGUAGUAAAAAGGUAAACAUUUUUAAACUAUAUUUUGUAUUCACAUUCUCAAAGUAGCCACCCUUUGCACUGUUGAAAAAUAUAUAGCUUUUCUUAACCUUAUAAUUACAUAAAUCUUGCUUCAUAUAUUUUCUAUUGUCUUCUGUAUGUAUAUAAAAUGUAGAAAGUAGU
Long non-coding RNA from Periophthalmus magnuspinnatus, 828 nucleotides. RefSeq lists it as uncharacterized. The transcript is spliced from 3 exons. Lineage: Eukaryota; Metazoa; Chordata; Actinopteri; Gobiiformes; Gobiidae. The record is from RefSeq and is a predicted model, not a curated record.